Long non-coding RNA from Cervus elaphus (red deer), 159 nucleotides. RefSeq lists it as uncharacterized. The record is from RefSeq and is a predicted model, not a curated record. NCBI's taxonomy places the organism in Eukaryota, Metazoa, Chordata, Mammalia, Artiodactyla, Cervidae. The transcript has 3 exons.
UCCUCUGUCCCUGGGAUUUCCCAGGCAAGAAUACUGGAGUGGGUUGCCAUUUCCUUCUCCAGGGGCUCUUCCCAACCCAGAGAUCAAACCCAGGUCUCCUGCAUUGCAGGCGGUCUCCUUGUAGACUGAGCCACCAACAUAACCCUGAAUUUUAAAAAU